RNAcentral lists this ribosomal RNA (292 nucleotides) under uncultured bacterium. Its description in RNAcentral is "partial 16S ribosomal RNA". It matches the Rfam family "Bacterial small subunit ribosomal RNA", at positions 505 to 796 of the family's 1533-position model. The record is from RNAcentral.
GUGCCAGCAGCCGCGGUAAGACGAGCCUCACAAACGUUAUUCGGAAUUACUGGGCUUAAAGGGUGCGUAGGCGGUGCGGAAAGUUGGGUGUGAAAUCCCUCGGCUCAACCGAGGAACUGCGCUCAAAACUGCCGUACUCGAGGAAGAUAGAGGUGAGCGGAACUUACGGUGGAGCGGUGAAAUGCGUUGAUAUCGUAAGGAACACCCGUGGCGAAAGCGGCUCACUGGGUCUUAUCUGACGCUGAUGCACGAAAGCUAGGGGAGCAAACGGGAUUAGAAACCCUGGUAGUCC